Molecule: ribosomal RNA, 253 nt
Filed under: uncultured bacterium
Lineage: Bacteria
Description: partial 16S ribosomal RNA
Rfam family: Bacterial small subunit ribosomal RNA
Source: RNAcentral
UACGGGGGGGGCAAGCGUUGUUCGGAAUUACUGGGCGUAAAGGGCGCGUAGGCGGCCUGUUAAGUCGAACGUGAAAUCCCCGGGCUCAACCCGGGAACUGCGUCCGAUACUGGCAGGCUUGAAUCCGGGAGAGGGAUGUGGAAUUCCAGGUGUAGCGGUGAAAUGCGUAGAUAUCUGGAGGAACACCGGUGGCGAAGGCGGCAUCCUGGACCGGUAUUGACGCUGAGGCGCGAAAGCCAGGGGAGCAAACGGG